AUGAGAUUUGUUUCCAUUGUGUUCCUGAGGGCAACUCAUUUUACUCCAGGAGAGAAAUGUAAUAGUGAUGUAGGUUGUAUUCAAACAGUAACUAACUGAAUGGCCAAUUUAUCCACUGGAAUUUCCUGCUUUCAACUUAUUGUUCUGGCAACCUGUAGUCUGAAAGACAGCAUUGUCUUCAGGCAUCACAUGAUAUCCAUGAGAUCUGAUCAUACUACACAAAUUACCCUGCAUUCAGGAAUCUCCUACAUGAUAUUGCUGGAAUAAGUGUCCAUAUGAACUACAGUUUUGCUGAUAUGAAUUAAUUCUGCAUGGUAUUAUUUAAAAAUAAAACAUCCUUAGGCUGAAUCCAGGUUACUUUCAAAUUUUGGCUUUGAGAUUUCAUUCUGCAUAGUAAUAUUUUUUAUCAUUUAAUAAACAUUCAACAUUAACACAUUAGUCCUCAAAUCUAAAAGGAAAGUAGUGGAAGCCUCAUUUUAAAUAAUUGAAGCAGCGAAAACUAAACCUUAUGAAAUCUCAUAUUGAUGAAUGUUUCAGCAUGACUUAAAAAUAUGAUUGUACAAAGAAUAUUAUAGAAGCAUUAAUGUAAUCAAAAGAAAGAAAAUUAUCAUAAUCCCAUUCUCCAAAAAAUAAAAAUUAUUUUCAUU
Homo sapiens (human) is the source of this 647-nucleotide long non-coding RNA. The record is from Ensembl. Lineage: Eukaryota; Metazoa; Chordata; Mammalia; Primates; Hominidae.